RNAcentral lists this ribosomal RNA (301 nucleotides) under uncultured bacterium. RNAcentral's name for it is "partial 16S ribosomal RNA". It matches the Rfam family "Bacterial small subunit ribosomal RNA", at positions 509 to 807 of the family's 1533-position model. The record is from RNAcentral.
CAGUAGCCACGGUAAUACGUAGGGUGCGAGCGUUAAUCGGAAUUACUGGGCGUAAAGCGUGCGCAGGCGGUUGUGUAAGACAGGUGUGAAAUCCCCGGGCUUAACCUGGGAACUGCGCUUGUGACUGCACAGCUAGAGUAUGGCAGAGGGGGGUGGAAUUCCACGUGUAGCAGUGAAAUGCGUAGAGGUGUGGAGGAACGCCGAUGGCGAAGGCAGCCCCCUGGGCCAAUACUGACGCUCAUGCACGAAAGCGUGGGGAGCAAACAGGAUUAGAUACCCCGGUAGUCCCUGUCUCUUAUAC